RNAcentral lists this ribosomal RNA (520 nucleotides) under uncultured Glomus. RNAcentral describes it as "SSU rRNA". It matches the Rfam family "Eukaryotic small subunit ribosomal RNA", at positions 569 to 1091 of the family's 1831-position model. The record is from RNAcentral. Lineage: Eukaryota; Fungi; Glomeromycota; Glomeromycetes; Glomerales; Glomeraceae.
AGCAGCCGCGGUAAUUCCAGCUCCAAUAGCGUAUAUUAAAGUUGCUGCAGUUAAAAAGCUCGUAGUUGAAUUUCGGGACCAUCACGUCGGUCGUGCCUCGGUACGUACUGGCGUCGUUGGUUUCUCCCUUCUGACGAACCAUGAUGUCAUUUAUUUGGUGUCGUGGGGAAUCAGGACUGUUACUUUGAAAAAAUUAGAGUGUUUAAAGCAGGCUCACGCUUGAAUACAUUAGCAUGGAAUAAUGAAAUAGGACGUUUGAUUCUAUUUUGUUGGUUUCUAGGAUCGACGUAAUGAUUAAUAGGGAUAGUUGGGGGCAUUAGUAUUCAAUUGUCAGAGGUGAAAUUCUUGGAUUUAUUGAAGACUAACUACUGCGAAAAGCAUUUGCCAAGGAUGUUUUCAUUAAUCAAGAACGAAAGUUAGGGAUCGAAGACGAUCAGAUACCGUCGUAGUCUUAACCAUAAACUAUGACCGACUAGGGAUCGGAUGAUGUUAAUUUUUAUGUACUCAUUCGGCNCCGUUA